UUUUAUUAGACAUUAAAAACCAAUCGUUCAGCUUGUCUGGGCGUGUUUUUGAUGAUUCUAGAUAAUACCUCAGUUUCGCACAGCCUUCGUGCAGGUGACACAUCUUUCAAAUGCCUGACUUAUCAACUGUCGAUGGUAGACUCAUUGUCUACCAUGGUAGUUACGGGUAACGGGGAAUCAGGGUUCGAUUCCGGAGAGGGAGCCUGAGAAACGGCUACCACAUCCAAGGAAGGCAGCAGGCACGCAAAUUACCCAUUUCCAGAACGGAGAGGUAGUGACAAAAAAUAACGAUACGGGACUCUAUUGAGGCCCCGUAAUCGGAAUGAGUACACUUUAAAUCCUUUAACCAGGAUCCAUUGGAGGGCAAGUCUGGUGUCAGCAGCCGCGGUAAUUCCAGCUCCAAUAGCGUAUAUUAAAGUUGUUGCAGUUAAAAAGCUCGUAGUUGGUUUUGCGUGCCACGCUGUCGGUUCGCCGCCUGACGGUGAAACUGGCAUGUCGUGGUACGUCCUGCCGGUGGUAAACGGUUACCUGGCAUGUGGCAAAAUGCUUUUUAGCUAUUUUGUUGCUGCCUUUGUGUAAUCGUUUGCCGAUUUUAUCCUACCCGGUGCUCUUAAACGAGUGUCGAGGUAGGCCGGCAAAUUUACUUUGAACAAAUUAGAGUGCUUAAAGCAGGCUAAAAUUAUAGCCUGAAUAGUGGUGCAUGGAAUAAUGAAAUAGGACCUCGGUUCUAUUUUGUUGGUUUUCGGAACACAAGGUAAUGAUCAAUGUGGACAAGCGGGGGCAUUCGUAUUGCGGCGUUAGAGGUGAAAUUCUUGGAUCGUCGCAAGACGCACAAGAGCGAAAGCAAUUGCCAAGUAUGUCUUAAUUGAUCAAGAACGAAAGUUAGAGGUUCGAAGGCGAUCAGAUACCGCCCUAGUUCUAACCAUAAACGAUGCCAGCCAGCGAUCCGACGUGUUCAUACUAUGACACGUGCGGGCAGCUUCUUCCCGGGAAACCAAAGCUGUUGGGUUCCGGGGGAAGUAUGGUUGCAAAGCUGAAACUUAAAGGAAUUGACGGAAGGGCACCACCAGGAGUGGAGCCUGCGGCUUAAUUUGACUCAACACGGGAAACCUCACCAGGUCAGGACAUUGUAAGGAUUGACAGAUUGAUAGCUCUUUCUUGAUUCAGUGGGUAGUGGUGCAUGGCCGUC
RNAcentral lists this ribosomal RNA (1189 nucleotides) under Themonocoris sp. CW-2010. RNAcentral's name for it is "SSU rRNA". It matches the Rfam family "Eukaryotic small subunit ribosomal RNA", at positions 203 to 1292 of the family's 1831-position model. The record is from RNAcentral. Lineage: Eukaryota; Metazoa; Arthropoda; Insecta; Hemiptera; Phymatidae.